RNAcentral lists this long non-coding RNA (6971 nucleotides) under Equus caballus (horse). RNAcentral's name for it is "lncRNA (ENSECAG00000053993.1)". Lineage: Eukaryota; Metazoa; Chordata; Mammalia; Perissodactyla; Equidae. The record is from RNAcentral.
AUCUCCACAACCCCCCCCGUACACAGUUGUAUAUCUUAGUUGCAGGUCCUUCUAGUUGUGGGAUGUGGGACGCCGCCUCAAUGUGGCUUGACGAGUGGCGCCAUGUCCGCGCCCAGGAUCCAAACCCUGGGCCGCCGCAGCGGAGCACGCGAACUUAACCACUCGGCCACAGAGCCGGCCCAGAGAUUUUCUUGAUGUUUAUAAAACUUAUUCCUAAACUUAACACAAAAGAAUUAGUAAUGAGUUUGGUUACUUCACAAUCAUUAUUCUUAUUUCAAUGCCUUCUUGGUAUUAUAGAGUCACUUAUCCAAUGAGCAGAUAUACCAUCUCCAUUGGGCUAAAGUUACUGGUUCUCAAAACACCCCCAUUGGAUCAUAAAUUAGAUCAGCGUUUCUCAAACUUUUUUGUGUCAUCACCCUUUUAUAUCCUUAAAAAUUAUUGAGAACCCCAAAGGGCUUUUAUUUAUACGUUAUAACUAUUGAUAUUCACUAUUAACAGAAAUUAAAUCUGAGAAAUUAAAGAAAAUUUUUUGAUUCAUUUAAAAAUAACAAUACUAAACCCAUUACAUGUUAACAUAAACAAUACAUUUUUAUGGGACAAGAAACCUAUUUUUUCUAAGGCAUAAAAAAUUCUUAAAAAAAUUAGUGAGAAAAGUGGCAUUGUUUUACAUUUUUGUAAAUCUUUUAAAUGUCUGCCUUAAUUAAAGAGAGUUGGACUCUCAUAUCUGCUUCUGCAUUCACACAGUGGUGAUAUCACAGGUCGUGUAACCUCUGGAAAACUCCACUGUACACUAGUGAGGGAAUGAGAGAGAAAAAGGCCAAAAAUUCAAUAGUAUUAUUAUAAAAAUAGUUUUGACCUCAUAAAUCCCUCUGAAAGGAACGGUUCAGUCACCCCCAGAUCACAUUUUGAGAACCACUGAGUUGGAUAAUAAUGAGUUAAAUAAUCAGGCCAUGACCUGGGUGCUACUUACCAGGGUAACUCUACCCGGGGUCACUCUACAAGUGACAGUGCUGAGCCGCCUUUCAUAGUUGAUUUGUCUGCUGUGGCAGUGGGGGCAAGUCUCCACCUUUUGUCAUGUGUCCCCUAGGCAUAUGUUAGGUUUCAUACUUAGUUAAUUUUUUUCAACUUUUUAUCUUAUGGUUUAGGAAGAUGGAAAUGUUUUUACUGCAUGCUUAGAACUCACUGAACUCUGCACUCUCUCAUCUAGAUUGUAAUAUUCCCCUUUGCUGUUUAUUUAGACUGUAUAUUGUUUUUGAAUUUUUCUUUUAUGGCUCUUAACUGUGAUUCUGCAGUGAGUUUAUUGCUAGGGCCUUAAGUCCUUCUCUCUUGCAUGUAAUAGUCAAGCAUCCAGACACUGCUACAUUGUCUGUAUUCAGUAGAAGCUGGAUAACCAUUUGUUAGAGAAGUUGUAGAAGUGCCUCCUUCGUUAGGCAGGAAAUUGGACUAGACCAAUGAUCUCAAAGGUGUCUUUCCAUUCCAAGUUUCUGUGCUGCUUCUCCUUUCUCCUUUCAACCCUGAAAAAUGGCAGGCUGCUCUGAGUACUACUGGAGAUCAGGCCGUCUGCUUGCCCUUCUGAUAUUCAGUCAGGGUUGUUAGAAAGUUAGAAUGUUACCAUGUUCAGGUAAAAAGACAUAAUUCCCUGGAUCCUUUGCAACUAGGGGUGACCUUGUGAGCUAGUUCUGACCAAUGAGAUGUAAGCAAAAGUCCACAGGGUGGGGGUUCUGAGAAAGUGAUUUUUUCCCUUAUAAAAAAGGAGCACACUUACAAGAAAUGUGUCUUUUUACUUCUUUCUGUCUGGAAUGUACAUGUAAUACCUGGAGAAAGGUAGCCCUCUUAUGACCAUGAAGAAGAAAGCCACAUGCUAAAGACUGAUGGACAGGAAGCUAAAGGAGGCUGAGGCCUUGAUGAUUCCCUCCAGUAAAUGCGUGAGGCUUAGUCUACCUCCUUUUGGACUUCUUGUUGCACGAGAAAAAGAAUCCUUCUUUAAGACACUGUAAUUGAGUUUCUGUUACGUGCAGAUUAAAUUUAUUCUUAAUUGUCUAACACAUUUGCUACUAGCUAGUUGUGGCUGUUAGUGCCUUCUCGUGGUACUUUAGACUGUCAUCUCACCGCUGGAGUAUUUUUGAAGAGGUUAAUACCAUGGUACAGUGCAAAGAGCGGCUUCAGAAUUAGCUGGAAGAAUCCUGGCUCUGUGUCACUAGCUGUGUGACCUCAGGCAAGUUACUUAAUCUCUUUGAGCCUAAAUCUUCUCAUCCAUGGAAAUGAAACUAAGAUUUAAUAUCUCCUGGUUGUUGUGAGGAUUAAAUGAGGUAACAAAAUCCCAGCACAGUGCCUUAGGUGUCAAAGGAGGUACUCAACAAAUGCACAUUCCAUUUCUCUGUUACAGAAGUUAAGCAGUUCCAUUCAAAAUAUUGCAGACCUAUCUCCUACUAGUUUGAAGUUGAAUAACAAAAAUGCAGCAGGAUUUUGGUAUGCUAAUGCUUAGGGAAAUAUUUAUACAAUAAGCCAGACAAGGUGGGGUUGCCUGUGACAACUGGAAGGCUGUGCAGAUGGGAAAGGUAGUGUCCUGAUGCUCUAUGGAAGCACUGAUGCUGACCUUUGGAGGAUAGGGGAUUAAUAAGAUGAUGAUGAUGAUUGUAGUAGCUAAUAUUUCUUAAGCACUUACUAUGUACUAGUCACUGUGGUGAGCACUUUAUAUUCAUUAUCUCAUUUUUAACACUCAAGAGCUAUCAAGUAGCUACUGUUAUUAUCUCCAGUUUGCAGACAAAGAAACGGAAGCUUAGAGAGGUUAGGUAAGUUAUCCAAAGUCACUCAGUGGUAGAGUUGGGACUAGUAUCCAGCUCUAACACCAAGGUCAUACUGGUGACCAUAGCCUUUUGAUGAGAUGUAAAUCAGUGAUGAGCUGAAGUUGGUUGUGAGAGCCUCUUACAUAUAUCUCUUCUCAAAUCUGUGUUCAGUGAAGUCACAGUGGUAGCUUGAAAUCAGCACUACAGAAACUGGCCAAUGGUACAAAUCAGAUCUCUCCCCCACUUCUCUGCCCUAAAAGCUGGCUGUUUUAGAAAAGCGAUGGAUCUGGAAACAGUGAACCUGGUGGAUAGCAGAUACUAAAGUAUUGAGUAAGUCAGGGCAUGGAGACAGCUUGAACAUUUAUCCUGAGUCAUUAGCCAGGCAAGAUUGACUCCUAUAAACAGGGGCCUAGAAGAAUGAUCCUUGGGGCUACAGAGAAAAGGCAGUGAAGCUGGAGUGAAGGUCUGAGGAUCUCAAACAAAAAGGAUGUAAUGUACAUUUUCCCAGUCAUUCUAAGAUCCUCUUUUCGAGUCCCUUCUCUAUGCCGGUACUUCUAUGUGUCACAUAUAGAAACAUAAAUAGAAUAGAAUCCCUUCUCUUGGUUAAACAAACAUAUACACAAAUAAUAAUAAUCUAAUGUGGGAAAAAGUAAUAAAAAGCUAUGCACAUAAAUUUUUAGUGAGGUUGGAAUUUAUCUGUCACAGCUACUGUGAGUAACCCUUUUAGUGCUUCCUGGAUCUUCUGAGGAGGAGUCUCCUUUAUUAUGAUGGACUCUGUUAAAAAUUAAAAGCUUAGGUUAUGCAUAUGCAGACACUGCUCUUGUGUUGUCUCAAGCCACAAUGUAAAUGUGCACAGCCGUAGAGACCAAUAGUACCCCCGUUAACAUCUAUUUGUCGAGUAAGUUGGUAAAGACGCCCAACUUUGGCUCUCUGCAGUUGACUUUCUUCCCCCUUUCAGUAGCCAUCAUGUGUCUUCAGAUUGUCAACUAGGAAAGGAUCUGAUAUGUCACUUAAUGUUUAUUGACCCACUAUGUGCCUGUCUCUACUGUGUACUGUUUCCAUCACUGUGUUACUUUGGCGCAUUUUUAGUUGUUUAGCUUCAACUUUAGAAUAAAAGGAUUUUUCUGUUGCUAAAGGGAUUUCAGCAAACUGGUAGAGAGAUUUUGGAGGUAAGAAAAGGGUAGUCUUUGCAAUCUAUGCCAUAUUAAAAAACAACUUAAGUAUUUUAGAGAAAAUAAAAAGACGAUGAGAAGAGGCUGGGAGGGAAGGAUUUUGGAAAUACUUUGCUAUUCAUCUACACAGACAGCCUUUUCUCUAUUCUGGAGGAAAAGCAAGGGAGAGGCUCAUCCAGUUAUUGGCAGUGAUGGAGACUAAUUCCUGGGAGCUACACUCAGAGUCAUUGGGCUUGUGUCCCACUGUCACCAAGUUCUUCCACAAUACCAGGCCCUCCUUGUCCAAGGACAGAGAAGAGCAGGAUUUCUCCCUCGAGAGCCUCCUCCACCUUCAGUUUGCGCUUUCUGCAAUCCUUGUGGAGUUCAGGCAAUGACACAAAAAAGCCGUGAGAGGAUCAAAGGCAUUCUUCCAAGGCUUUGGGGCAGCUCCUUCUGUGCAGAGGGCGUGAGGCCAUGGAAGCUGGGUGACAGCAGUCUAGAAGUUAAAGUAGGCCUCGAAAGAAAGAAAAGAAAACCUCUAGGUUUAAGCAGUUAUCUUUAACAGAAUCCCAGACACUUCCUUCUCUCAGCUGAAUCGACAGAGCACCUGUUGGCAUCAGGACAAACUGAGGGCUUAGGUACCGCGAGGUAAUUUAAUAACUAUUCAUCGACCUUAAACCACGUGCCAGGUGCUGCGACAUGAGCAUUACAUAUAUAAUUUCAUAUAAUCCUCACAACAACCCGGUGUGGUAAGUAUAGUUCCUGGUCUCAGUUUACAGAUGAGGAAAUUCAAAUACAGAGAUGAAAAAAUAUGUCUUGAGUCUCAAUAGUGGAAUCAAUAGGCGGAGAGGUUUUGAGGGCAGUGAAGGUGGCCUCUAAGGGAGUAUGGAAAUAGCGACAUUCCCGUUUACUUGACUCAUUCUUAGACAUAAGAGAAAUGACUUAUCGAGUCUUCGAUGUUCCUCUCUGUCCUUAGAGUUUCCUCUGACACUGUGUCCUGUCUGGAGUUGAGGGCCUGCGGUGGGCUUCUCUGACUUCUUAUCUUAGACUUACCAGAUUUCCCACACCUUAGACUUCUCAUCUCUCAAAGGGGCAGGUAGAGCAAGAUGGUCUAAAAUGGGACUUCGUGGUUGCAUCUCUAUCUUCGAAGACUAACUUCUAGCUGCAGUAGUAGUUCCUUCAAUUACAAACCACGGUUGUGUUAGUAGCAUCUGAGACUCUCUUAUCAAUAGAAAGCACAGACAUUUUCAUUUCACAUAAUGGUAGUUGUCAGUAUCUUCAAUACCAUUUACUCCCCUCACUGCUUUGAAUUUACAGUGGUUAUGAGACUCAUGGCUGGAUCUUGUUAUUUAACAGAUGUUAUUAUAUCACAAAAUUUUAAAUGUUUUGUUGUGGUACAAAUAUAUGCAAGUUGCCAUUUUAACCAUUUUUAAGUGUACAAUUCAGUGGCGUUAGUUACAUUCACACUGUUGUGCAACCAGCACCAGGUUUCUAAAAUAUUUUGAUGGCUUGUUUUAAUGUAAUAUGUUUUGCUGUGAUUCUGUUUGUUUAUAUUAUACAUUUAAUAGCAUUAGUCUCACCACCAGACUUCUGAAGGGCUCUGGGACACAAAAAGAUGAAGAAUCUCUGAUCAUAUAGGGUCUUUCCACUUUUGACAUACUAUGAUUACGUGAUUCUAAACCAAUCAAACUUUUAUUAAUAAAUGAGGAUCAUAAUGUUUCUCUACUAGACCAACCCUUGGGGCUCUCCACUUAACAAGCUUUCUGUAAAGCUGCAGGAUGCCCAGAAGGAGCCGACACUGAGCUUCCUUCGGCACACAUUCCUGUCCUGGAAAGACUCCAGCAUGUCUCGACUCCCUGCAGGCCCAGGCCCUGGGCUCACCUGGGCCCGGCUGGAGCCUCCCCCCGUGAGCCUACUGUGGAUGCUGCCGUCAGGAAGGGGCAGCGCUCCACUCCCGGUGCUCUGAAUCAGCCCGGGGAACUGGAGGCCAGGAGGUGGUCUGCUUCCCCUGGGGUGCUCUCAAGAUGGACCCUGCACAACUCCCCUGCAAAACGGUAUCAGACAUUUGGUAUAAUUGGGAAGGUGUCCAUUUAUUCAAUUCAUCCAUUUGUUCAGUCUUUUCAUCACUGUUUACUGAGGGCCUGUGUAUGUGCCAGGGAUACUUUUGUGAAAAAAAGACAAGUUUUUGCCCUCAGGGAGCUUACAUUCUAGAGGAGGGAAGGGAUAGACAAUAACCAAAUAAACGAGUCCAUUAUAUAGCGUGUGGUGAUGAUAAAUUUUGAGAGAAAUUGAAGCAGGGAAGGGAGACAGGGAGUGCUGUGAGGGGUGAGUAGGGUUGUAAUAAUUGCUAAGGCAGCCAGAGAGGCCUCAUUGAGAAGGUGACAUUUGAUUAAAGACUUGAAUAAGGUUGAGAGAGUGAGCAGUGCAGACAUUUCGGCCAGACAUGUCAGGCAAAGGGACCAGUGCAAAGGCCCUGAGGCAGGAGCACACCUGGCAUGUUUAAGAAACACCAAGGAGGCCAGUGUGGCUGGAGCAGAGGAGUGAGGUGGAGAUGAAAGACUGGUUACAGGGGUCAGCUCCUGAAGGGUCUUUAGGGCACUGGGCUUUUACUCUGAGUAAGAUGGGAAGCUAUUGGAGGGUUUCAAGUACUGAAUGAAAAUAUCUGCGUUAAUUUCUUACAGGAUCAGUAGGAAGAUAACGUCCGAAAAGGUAGAGGCCAGUAGAAGGAUGCUGCAAUAAUUCCAGGAGAGGGGAUGGAUGGUGGCUCAGACCAGGAUGGUGAUGGUGAAAGGGGCAAGAAAUGGUCAGAUUCUGCAUAUAUUUAAAGGUCUAGCUGAAAGGAUUUGCUAAUGGAUGGGAUUCGGGCUGUGAAAGAAAGAGAGGAAGAAAGGAUGAUUGCAAGCUUUGUGACUUGAGCAAUGGGAAGGAUGGAGGGAGUUAUUUGAUGGGCGUCCACUUUAUGUCAGGCAAAAGUUUAGCUCCAGGCAGACAGUAAGUGAAAGGAGCACAGUCCCUGGCUUCGAGCAGCUUCCAG